GCGGGUGUAGCUCAGUGGUAGAGCACAACCUUGCCAAGGUUGGGGUCGAGAGUUCGAAUCUCUUCACCCGCUCCA
This 75-nucleotide transfer RNA is filed under the name Alphaproteobacteria bacterium. Its description in RNAcentral is "tRNA-Gly". It matches the Rfam family "tRNA". From Rfam's summary of the family: Transfer RNA (tRNA) molecules are approximately 80 nucleotides in length. Their secondary structure includes four short double-helical elements and three loops (D, anti-codon, and T loops). Further hydrogen bonds mediate the characteristic L-shaped molecular structure. tRNAs have two regions of fundamental functional importance: the anti-codon, which is responsible for specific mRNA codon recognition, and the 3' end, to which the tRNAs corresponding amino acid is attached (by aminoacyl-tRNA synthetases). tRNAs cope with the degeneracy of the genetic code in two manners: having more than one tRNA (with a specific anti-codon) for a particular amino acid; and 'wobble' base-pairing, i.e. permitting non-standard base-pairing at the 3rd anti-codon position. Lineage: Bacteria; Pseudomonadati; Pseudomonadota; Alphaproteobacteria. The record is from RNAcentral. RNAcentral also lists the same sequence under 3 other names.